RNAcentral lists this ribosomal RNA (325 nucleotides) under uncultured eukaryote. RNAcentral's name for it is "partial 18S ribosomal RNA". It matches the Rfam family "Eukaryotic small subunit ribosomal RNA", at positions 1470 to 1796 of the family's 1831-position model. The record is from RNAcentral.
CCCUUAGAUGUCCUGGGCCGCACGCGCGCUACACUGAUGCAUUCAACGAGUUUUACCUUGGCCGAGAGGCCUGGGCAAUCUUUUAAACCUGCAUCGUGAUAGGGAUAGAUUAUUGCAAUUAUUAAUCUUGAACGAGGAAUUCCUAGUAAACGCAGAUCAUCAAUCUGCAUUGAUUACGUCCCUGCCCUUUGUACACACCGCCCGUCGCUACUACCGAUUGAAUGGUUUAGCAAGGUCUUCGGAUUGGCGCCUGACAGUUUCGACUGUCUUCGUGUCCGAGAAGAUGAUCAAACUUGAUCAUUUAGAGGAAGUAAAAGUCGUAACA